Molecule: transfer RNA, 90 nt
Filed under: Dactylonectria macrodidyma
Lineage: Eukaryota; Fungi; Ascomycota; Sordariomycetes; Hypocreales; Nectriaceae
Also listed under: 1 other name
Description: Ilyonectria macrodidyma tRNA
Rfam family: tRNA
About the family: Transfer RNA (tRNA) molecules are approximately 80 nucleotides in length. Their secondary structure includes four short double-helical elements and three loops (D, anti-codon, and T loops). Further hydrogen bonds mediate the characteristic L-shaped molecular structure. tRNAs have two regions of fundamental functional importance: the anti-codon, which is responsible for specific mRNA codon recognition, and the 3' end, to which the tRNAs corresponding amino acid is attached (by aminoacyl-tRNA synthetases). tRNAs cope with the degeneracy of the genetic code in two manners: having more than one tRNA (with a specific anti-codon) for a particular amino acid; and 'wobble' base-pairing, i.e. permitting non-standard base-pairing at the 3rd anti-codon position.
Source: Rfam by way of RNAcentral
GGCCGCGUGGCCUAAUGGCUAAGGCGCUAGAUUUCGGUUCACCGGAUUCAACUACUCUAGAGAUUUCAGGUUCGACUCCUGACGUGGUCG